CAAGCGGUGGAGCAUGUGGUUUAAUUCGAUGCAACGCGAAGAACCUUACCUACUCUUGACAUCCAGCGAACUUAGCAGAGAUGCUUUGGUGCCUUCGGGAACGCUGAGACAGGUGCUGCAUGGCUGUCGUCAGCUCGUGUUGUGAAAUGUUGGGUUAAGUCCCGCAACGAGCGCAACCCUUAUCCUUUGUUGCCAGCGAUACGGUCGGGGACUCAAAGGAGACUGCCGGUGAUAAACCGGAGGAAGGUGGGGAUGACGUCAAGUCAUCAUGGCCCUUACGAGUAGGGCUACACACGUGCUACAAUGGCGCAUACAAAGAGAAGCGACCUCGCGAGAGCAAGCGGACCUCAGAAAGUGCGUCGUAGUCCGGAUCGGAGUCUGCAACUCGACUCCGUGAAGUCGGAAUCGCUAGUAAUCGUGGAUCAGAAUGCCACGGUGAAUACGUUCCCGGGCCUUGUACACACC
Molecule: ribosomal RNA, 465 nt
Filed under: uncultured bacterium
Lineage: Bacteria
Description: bacterial SSU rRNA
Rfam family: Bacterial small subunit ribosomal RNA
Source: RNAcentral